Molecule: long non-coding RNA, 648 nt
Organism: Octodon degus (degu)
Lineage: Eukaryota; Metazoa; Chordata; Mammalia; Rodentia; Octodontidae
Exons: 4
Source: RefSeq, a predicted model, not a curated record
CUUUGGGGUUACUUAAGUCGUUGAGAAACGCUCCCUCAUUUAUUAAUCAAAGACUUCAGAAGGGGAUUUUAUGUUCCUGUGCUGCUGCUUGAUUAGCUUGGAGAACUUUUUUUAAGGGUUUCCCAUCUAUUUCCCCUUUUGGAGGACAGACAGAAGAUGGGGGUGGGCAGAUGCCUACCGAUCGCCCAGGUUUCCUGUCUACCAGUCUCCGGCAUUCUUCAUGAGAUGAAGAAAAUGAUACGAUUUCUCCAAGCACCAAGCUCUUUUAAAAUGUCAUUCUCUCCACCCAGGUGAGCUCCAGCAAGCAAGAGUGUCUGUCAUACACGUGCUACUUUCUGACUCCAGGGAGGCUUUGAGGAGCCCACAGAGAGUCAAGAGAGAAUACCAGAGAAUGGAAUCAGGAAGGAAAAGACACACCACGGUCAGAGAAGAAAAGCAAUACCUCAUUCAGAAGUACCCACGAGGAUGAUCACCUUACCCCUGGCUGCCAGGGACACCAGGCCUCAACCACCUGCCUCCUUCAGGAAGACCAAGGACCUCAAUGUGUUCUCAAUGAAGCAGCAUUGAGCUCUGAAGGGAAAGAUGAGGCAGAAGAGUUUUAGCUUAUUCAUGGAAGUUUUUCUUCUCAGCAGGAUUUUCUUCUGUUGG